This 499-nucleotide ribosomal RNA is filed under the name uncultured bacterium. Its description in RNAcentral is "partial 16S ribosomal RNA". It matches the Rfam family "Bacterial small subunit ribosomal RNA", at positions 28 to 507 of the family's 1533-position model. The record is from RNAcentral.
GACGAACGCUGGCGGCGUGCCUAAUACAUGCAAGUCGAGCGAAGUUUUUCUGGUGCUUGCACUAGAAAAACUUAGCGGCGAACGGGUGAGUAACACGUAAAGAACCUGCCUCAUAGACUGGGACAACUAUUGGAAACGAUAGCUAAUACCGGAUAACAGUAUUUCUCGCAUGGGAGAUAUUUAAAAGUUGGUUAUGCUAACACUAUGAGAUGGCUUUGCGGUGCAUUAGCUAGUUGGUGGGGUAAAGGCCCACCAAGGCGACGAUGCAUAGCCGACCUGAGAGGGUGAUCGGCCACACUGGGACUGAGACACGGCCCAGACUCCUACGGGAGGCAGCAGUAGGGAAUCUUCCGCAAUGGGCGAAAGCCUGACGGAGCAACGCCGCGUGAGUGAAGAAGGAUUUCGGUUCGUAAAGCUCUGUUGUUAGGGAAGAAUGGAUAUGUAGUAACUAUACAUGUAAGAGACGGUACCUAACCAGAAAGCCACGGCUAACUACGCG